GCGCUUUGAAGUGAGAAUGACGGUUUGAGUUGCGUAAGAAGGGAGAGAAUCCCUUCCACCGAAUAUCUAUGGUUUCCUGUGGAUGGCUCGUCCGCUCUGGGUUUGUCGGGACCUAAGCCGAGGCCGAUUGGCGUUGGCGUUGGACAACAGGUAGAGAUUCCUGUACCUGUGCUUAUUGUUUAUCCGAUGGGGUGACACAGAAGGAUUGGGAAUCGCACGAAUGGAUAUGUGCGUCCAAGCAGUGAGUGUGAGAAGAAGGCAAAUCCGCUUCUUGCGAAGCAUGAGCUGUGAUGGGGAUGGAAAUUAAGU
This 309-nucleotide ribosomal RNA is filed under the name Listeria monocytogenes. Its description in RNAcentral is "bacterial LSU rRNA". It matches the Rfam family "Bacterial large subunit ribosomal RNA", at positions 1278 to 1583 of the family's 2925-position model. The record is from RNAcentral. Lineage: Bacteria; Bacillati; Bacillota; Bacilli; Caryophanales; Listeriaceae.